AUUCAAAAUGUUGCAUCAGCUAACAGCCGCACUCAUCAAGAAGUGCAGACAGAAUGUGUUUCCCCAAACCUACACUGUUAAUGGUCAACACUGUCAACUUCUUGGAUGCAGAACUGUAUAGAGAAGAUCAAACCAAACAUUGCUUGAGAAUCUGGACCAUAAGGAACCACACCAGAAACUAAGACACGAAGAACCUCAACGCUUUUAAGGGACACUCCUCUAUAUGGCUGUCCAUUAAUCCAAACUGAGAGGUCUCCUUUCUUAUAUGCUGGACAACAUCCAUUUCCUGUUCCUCAGGGUACUUGAAGGCUGAAGCAGCCCAAAUGAUGAUUUUUGCUGCCAGCUGGGGGCACUCAGCCCAGGCCUUGAGCUGGUUGUAGGUGACUGAAAUUUGAGUGCUACCAGGAGGAUCCUCCAUAAUUCCUCAUCCCAAGUGGGGAGAGAAGAAAGAGGAGAAAUUCAGAAUCUUGACGGAAGAGCCACGUUCCUGCUUCACCAUGGGGACUGAGUAGGAAGUUGUUUGCUUGUGUUUUCCUGCUGGAAAGACCAGAAUCUUGCAUUGCAGAGGAAGCCUUCCCCCAUCUGCUGGCUAGGCAAGAGGGAGAGAUGCAAAGAACAAUCAAAGAAGAGGACUGUGAACUGAAUUCAGUGUUCACCUCUGAACAGGGAUAAGAAAACCAGCCUGGAAAAUAAUACUCAUUUCAGUAUUGCUAUCCACACUGCAUCCAACCUGAGAGUCUGAACAUCAGCAUCCAUGGCAAGUUUUGUUUAACUUCCUUCAUAAACUGAAUCUAUGUCUAUUUUUGCAUGGUGGCCCUUUCAUAGCACCUAUUAAACAUUACUGGAAGAGUGUGCUAUGCUGCAAUAAAAGUGACCUUUAUACAUUAUCUAUAAUCUAGUUCGGGCUAUUAGAGUGUGUGAAGUGUGCAACUAUGUUUUUAGAGACUGAGAUGGGGGUAGAACUAGUAUCUGUUGUCUCUACUAUACUGAUGAAAAGUCUUCCCACCUUUAGCAUUACUUUCCUCUAUUGCAGCACUGUUGUUCACUGGGACAAAGGCAGAAGAGGUCUAAUUGUUUUUGCAAUGCAAUCACUCCAAAACUUUUGUCAUAGCUUUCUGGCUUGUAUUCUGCAGUGUUGACUGGUGGGACCUGCACUUGGGAUGUUGUGCAAACCCCAGACAGAUUGUGACAGAAGACUAGCAUACUUCAGAAACAUUUCUGCUGGUCCAGAUAGAAGUAGAAGCAGCUGGCAGAGACUCCGUGACAGAAAAGAGCAGCACGUUAGGCAAUGCAGUGGAAAGGUAAAGGAACAUGGUCUUUCUUAGUAACUUUAAGUCAUAAUAGCAAAACAUAUUUUACAGGCGUGAACACCAAUUUAAUUCACAAGAAAUUCCAAUAAAAUAAGUAGUACCUAUUAAAUCAGCCAUUUAUGAUGUGACAUUGUCUUAUGUUUUGGAACAGUAUCCAUUAGUCUGCUGAAUACAGAGAUUAUAUUACUCUAUAAUAAAAUGUCAGGGUGAUAUAUUUUCUUUUAUCGAAAAUCUGAAUGUGCAUAUUGCUUUCCUUAUUACAAGGUGUAGUCAUUUUCUACGGAAAAUAAACAACCCUCCAC
Gallus gallus (chicken) is the source of this 1612-nucleotide long non-coding RNA. RefSeq lists it as uncharacterized. The record is from RefSeq and is a predicted model, not a curated record. The transcript is spliced from 4 exons. NCBI's taxonomy places the organism in Eukaryota, Metazoa, Chordata, Aves, Galliformes, Phasianidae.